This 301-nucleotide ribosomal RNA is filed under the name uncultured bacterium. RNAcentral describes it as "partial 16S ribosomal RNA". It matches the Rfam family "Bacterial small subunit ribosomal RNA", at positions 509 to 807 of the family's 1533-position model. The record is from RNAcentral.
CAGUCGCCGCGGGAAUACGAAGGGUGCAAGCGUUAAUCGGAAUUACUGGGCGUAAAGCGUGCGUAGGCGGCCUAUUAAGUCAGGGGUGAAAGACGGUAGCUUAACUAUCGCAGUGCCUUUGAUACUGAUGGGCUUGAAUACACUUGAGGUAGGCGGAAUGUGACAAGUAGCGGUGAAAUGCAUAGAUAUGUCACAGAACACCAAUUGCGAAGGCAGCUUACUGAAGUGUCAUUGACGCUGAGGCACGAAAGCGUGGGGAUCAAACAGGAUUAGAUACCCGGGUAGUCCCUGUCUCUUAUAC